AUACGGAGGGUGCAAGCGUUGUUCGGAAUUAUUGGGCGUAAAGCGCGUGUAGGCGGCUUGGUAAGUCAGGUGUGAAAGCCCUUAGCUCAACUAAGGAAAGUCAUCUGAAACUGCCAGGCUUGAGUACGGGAGAGGAGAGUGGAAUUCCCGGUGUAGAGGUGAAAUUCGUAGAUAUCGGGAGGAACACCCGUGGCGAAGGCGACUCUCUGGACCGAUACUGACGCUGAGACGCGAAAGCGUGGGGAGCAAACAGGGUUAGAUACCCCGGUAGUCC
RNAcentral lists this ribosomal RNA (274 nucleotides) under uncultured bacterium. Its description in RNAcentral is "partial 16S ribosomal RNA". It matches the Rfam family "Bacterial small subunit ribosomal RNA", at positions 523 to 796 of the family's 1533-position model. The record is from RNAcentral.